GCCACAUGAUGAACCCUAGAUGUCAUUAGCAUACCGUGCAAAGAUGACUCACAUCUAUCACCCAAGACUGAUGGUU
Molecule: small nucleolar RNA, 76 nt
Organism: Tachyglossus aculeatus (Australian echidna)
Lineage: Eukaryota; Metazoa; Chordata; Mammalia; Monotremata; Tachyglossidae
Product: small nucleolar RNA SNORD83
Exons: 1
Source: RefSeq, a predicted model, not a curated record